This 622-nucleotide long non-coding RNA is filed under the name Musa acuminata (dwarf banana). RNAcentral describes it as "long non-coding RNA (MACU_LNC006139)". The record is from RNAcentral. Lineage: Eukaryota; Viridiplantae; Streptophyta; Magnoliopsida; Zingiberales; Musaceae.
CAUGGUUUGGUGUCGACUCUUCAUUUCCAAUCUCCUUGGCCUUGUGAUUCUCGAAUGCAGUACCUAUGCCCGACGCGGGUGGUGCUUCCUCUUCGUCUCAGGUUUAUUGUGGUGGCAGCAGGAGAAGCCACAGCAAGCAGCUGCUUGGUUUCUAGAUUCUCCAAAGAAAUCCUGAUUGGCUUCCCAACCAGAGGAGGUUAUUAUGGAAAGGACAACUAGCUCGGUGCAUCCAAUCAUUUCUUUAUGUAUAAGAGAUCAAGAUCUUGUGCUCGUGUUCCCUUUGUGGUUAGAGUAGGAUCUAUAGAAAAGUUGUGCAUUUUUAGAUGAGAAUUAUACAGCAAAUUUUAAGGUGGAAAAUGUGAAAGCGAUACGCUGAGAGGAGCGGAAACAUAAUGAGUUCAAUAGUUUGGGUCCUCCCGGGAUCGAUCAUGCUUAGCUUGCUCUCCGUAGGCUUCCUUCCUGGUAGCAGAGUCUUUUGGAAUCAUUCACUUGCCGACACUUCCUCCAGGUGUAUUCCUGCUUGCGCAUCUGAAUGCUCGGACGUACGCGCAUGCCAACACACGCGGCAAGUGCGUGCUUGGGGGGUAACGUGAUGUAUAUAAAGUAGUUUGUAUGUCUCCGC